AGAUUUCUUCGGAAUGAAGUUUUAGUGACUGAGCGGCGGACGGGUGAGUAACGCGUGGGUAACCUGCCUCAUACAGGGGGAUAACAGUUGGAAACGGCUGCUAAUACCGCAUAAGCGCACAGUACCGCAUGGUACGGUGUGAAAAACUCCGGUGGUGUGAGAUGGACCCGCGUCUGAUUAGCUGGUUGGUGAGGUAACGGCCCACCAAGGCGACGAUCAGUAGCCGACUUGAGAGAGUGAUCGGCCACAUUGGGACUGAGACACGGCCCAAACUCC
This 276-nucleotide ribosomal RNA is filed under the name uncultured Lachnospiraceae bacterium. Its description in RNAcentral is "partial 16S ribosomal RNA". It matches the Rfam family "Bacterial small subunit ribosomal RNA", at positions 69 to 339 of the family's 1533-position model. The record is from RNAcentral. Lineage: Bacteria; Bacillati; Bacillota; Clostridia; Lachnospirales; Lachnospiraceae.